UCUGUUUCUACAGCAACAAUGAGAGCAGCAGUUUUGGGAUUUUGAAGAAAAUGGGCGGGACAAAGGGUAGAGGACCCUUUAUAAGAUGGGUCCCUCUUUCAGAGCACAGAAGAGAGACCUCAAAAUCAGUCAUCAAAGGAAGACAAGGGGGCUGGGGGAGGACCCCAAAGCCCUGAUUAAAGCAGGAAAACUGAUUCCCCUACCCCAGAGACAAAGUCCUCUGGUGCGAAGCCAGCUGCUUUCCUCUGGACAGAGAAGAACCAGGCUCAGGGGCUGACAGGGAGCAGUGUUCAUCAAGGUGUCCUGACGUCCCACCCUGAUUGCAACAAGGCUCUGGGGACAUCCACAUCUGGCCUUUCCUACAGCACAGAGCUCUGCCUCCUCCCCACCACACAUGCAGCCCUCUUCUGCCCCAGGGCCGGGGCAGCCUCAGUCCUGCUGCCAGAGAAGAGCUCCAUGGGAAGAACCUGCCGCCCUGUGUGGACCCUGCUUGCCCCAGGGCCUGGCAGUGAGAGGUGCUGGGGAGGGAGGGAGGAAGUGAGUCAGCUCCCUGCAGAAAUCUGAGUGGGAGGGAGGAGCCAGCAGAAAUGAGAUCGGGGGCAAAGGGCACAGGAGCCAGAAAGGUCACUAAGAGAGGGAACCAGGCCCCGAAGGUGUUGCGGGACCCACAGAGUACAAGACAGAUACAGGUGAUGAAUUCGGCAGGGCCACCUCCAACCGAGGCUGGGUGGCCCCAGUAGGCCAGAGAACCUGGGUCCAGAGGCCUGGCCCCACCUGAGGAUGGAAUCCGAGGCGGCUCCCCUCCCUGACUCAUGUUCACACCAGAGGUAGCAAGGCCUUGUGGGACAUGGCCAGCCUCAUUCUCUCCUCAGAGAUGGAGUCUCUGGGCUCCAAGGCCUCCCACUCCCUCUCCUGAGCCCUACAGCUCCAGAAGCCCAGGUUCCCCAUGACCUGGCCUAGUAGGGACAUGCUAAGGUCCUACAGACAAGUCACCUAGGCCAGUCAGAGCGGGAAGGUUCCAGGAACCAAAACUGUCUCCCAGAGGGGAUGGGAGCUGAGCCUGGGCCCCAGGAGCAGAGCAACUGGGGCUGCCUUAGCACCCACUCUCUCCUCCCUGGUAGGGACAUGUGGGAGCUGUCCCCAGGCUCCAGCUGGAAUCCAUUGCUGUGACUGGGUAAGAUCCUUGCUGUGAAAAUUCCCAUCCUGCUGACAUUCCAGUAUGAAGGCAGUUCAGGGAGAGCAGCGGAAGGGAAGAGGAAGCCCCACUGGGCCACAUUCCAGCCCCUCAGAGACCUACAGCCAGUGAGACAGGCGCAUUCCUCCAAGGUCUGAGACAGACACUGCGUAGCCCCCAUGUAAUCCUGAAUCUUCUUCUCACCCAAGCCUGGCACCUUCAUGUGGGCUCCUGUGUGGGGGCAGGAGGCAGCCUGUCCCCAGGACCUCCCUUCCCAGGCUCCUGCUCCUGGAUGCCCACAGAGCUGCCUCUCCUCCAGUCCUGUGAGAGAUGCCAGGCCCCAGGCAUGCAAGAAACAGUCCAUGGGUGGAGAUGGGACACGCUAAGGUCCUAGAGACAAGUCACCAAGGUCAGUUAGAGCAGGAGGGGUCCAGGACCCAAAACUGAGCUAAAGUUUUGGUUCUGGUCUGGAAGACCGAACAGAGAGAAUGAGAAACCAGUUCCUGAGUACAGAACCAUCUCUUUCCUUCAACAAAUAUCCCCUGCCCUCAUGCAGUGCUCCAGCACUGGAGAAGGAAUGAGAUAACUCAGUAAUUACCAUCUUGUGAAUGCUAUGAGAAGGCUGGGGUGUUGCCAGGUGGGGACCUGACAUGGUCUGGGAGGAUCAGGGACAAGUGAUAUUCAAACUGAAGCCAAUGUGUAGAAGUGUACAAGGGAGGGCAGGGAAAGGGGCUACAGACAAAAGGAACAGCAGGAGCUCAAGGGUAGACGCCAGUGAGAAGCCUGCAUUGCCCCCACCACUGCUAGGCCCUCUGCCAGGCUGUGCUCCGCCACUGUUUUUCCACAACACACAGAGGAAACAACAGCGUGGCCCUGAGCAACACGGCGAGCCCACUCUUGGUCAGAGGUGACACUGCAGGGAUCCUGUCACCCCAAGUGCUAUGGAGAUCAGCACUAGCAUGCCAGUAUGGGCCAAAAAGAUGUCAGCUUUCGCUGACCCAUCCACAAGACUGGACUUGAAGCCCCUCUGCUGCACUCCCAGCACCAGGACUGGCCCCUGUGGUUGAGCUUCUCAGAGGGUACUGUCAUGGUCUGCUACUGGAACAUCUCUCCCGCUUACUAUGAGCUCCUUGGGGCUGGGAUUAUGUGCUGCUCACCGCUGGAGCCCAGGACCUAGUAUGCAGUAAGUGCUCAACAAAUGCUUCCCUAAUGGAUGGGCAGGUGGAAGGAUGAUGGCAGAAGAAAACGGUGUUCUCCCAGGCCUGCUGGUUGAUUUCUACCAGGCCACAAAUCUACCCUACCACUGUGGCUCACCCCUGCUCCCAGCGGAACCUCAUCUAGCAGCUACCAGGACACAUGAAGGUGUGAACCCAGCAUUCUGGACACACGCCAUGUGAGAGGGAAACCCAAGGGGCUGUGUCUCCCUGGGGCCUUCUAAACAGGCCAUGGAGAGGAGCCGGGGGCCUGGCCCCAUCUGUGUGCAGGAAGAUAACAGAUGGCUAGUCAGCUCCCUCAGAGCUCCCUGGGGACAGGCAAUGUGUGGACACAGUUGAUGGAUGGCCUGAUGGCAGGGUGGCCAGCAAGAGCUGUCCCUGUGGGGCUACAGUCAUCAGGGUAUCCCUCCCAGGAGUCUGGAGGAGGCGGGAAGACUUCUCUUGGCGCAUAACUGGGAUUAGAACUGCUGCCAAGACAGGGAGUAGGAGGAGUAAAAGGAAGAGGAGGAGAUACAGGCUGAGGGUACAGAAGAGGUGCAGCACCCCACGCCACUCCCAGCCCUGUCCCAGGAAGCUGGAAACGCUGGGCUCACCCUGGUCCUCUCUGCUUGUGGUAUGAGUCCCCACCACCUACCUGGGUGAGAAAAGAUAUGGGCUUCUUUCAGCCCUAUGUGUCUCCUUAUCCUGCCACAUGGCUCUAGGAGAUGCAUGGGGAUGGGGUUUGCUACUGUGUCCUCUGGCAGAUGAAACAGGCUGAGGCUCGGGGAAGAAGUCCUCUGGGCACCAGCUGGGCUUACCCCAUAGGAGCUAGAGUGAGCCAGCAUUUCAGGGAUACCAGCUAUAACUUGGAAUCCACCAGGGCCUCCAAAGCUAAACCAUCUACUUCCCCAGGGAUGGGAUAGCAGCAGAUAGUUGGGAAGGGAAAGCUAGGAAAAUCUGAGAUGCCAGGAUGAUCCCUGUGCUAUAAAGAGAAAACCAAACAGCAUCUGGGAUGCCAGGCCCAGGGCCCCACAGAGGCCUUGCUGUGGUUCAGCAGGGAGCUGGCAACAAUCCCCUGGGGGAUUCAUUCUUUAAGAAGAAAAUUCCAUCUGUUAAAAGCAGCGUUAGCCUGGAAGAACGCAGACAGGCAUGGCAACAUGUUAGUCUUUGCUUCUGUUAUUGUUUUUGAGACAGAGUUUAGCUCUUAUUGCCCAGGCUGAAGUGCAAUGGCUUGAUCUCGGCUCACUGCAACUUCCGCCUCCCGGGUUCAAGUGAUU
Molecule: long non-coding RNA, 3644 nt
Filed under: Homo sapiens (human)
Lineage: Eukaryota; Metazoa; Chordata; Mammalia; Primates; Hominidae
Description: HSALNT0239114
Source: RNAcentral